This 477-nucleotide ribosomal RNA is filed under the name uncultured bacterium. RNAcentral's name for it is "bacterial SSU rRNA". It matches the Rfam family "Bacterial small subunit ribosomal RNA", at positions 31 to 507 of the family's 1533-position model. The record is from RNAcentral.
GAACGCUGGCGGUAUGCUUAACACAUGCAAGUCGAACGGUAACAGGCCUUCGGGCGCUGACGAGUGGCGGACGGGUGAGUAACGCGUAGGAAUCUGCCUCAUAGUGGGGGACAACGUGGGGAAACUCACGCUAAUACCGCAUACGCCCUACGGGGGAAAGCGGGGGAUCUUCGGACCUCGCGCUAUGAGAUGAGCCUGCGUUAGAUUAGCUAGUUGGUAGGGUAAAGGCCUACCAAGGCGACGAUCUAUAGCUGGUCUGAGAGGACGAUCAGCCACACUGGGACUGAGACUCGGCCCAGACUCCUACGGGAGGCAGCAGUGGGGAAUAUUGGACAAUGGACGCAAGCCUGAUCCAGCAAUACCGCGUGUGUGAAGAAGGCCUAGGGUUGUAAAGCACUUUCAAUUGGGAGGAAAACCUGUCGGUCAAUACCCGGCAGCUUGACAUUACCUUUAGAAGAAGCACCGGCUAACUCCGUG